UUACUUACUGAGCCGUGUAGCUCAUAUCCGUUCAUUUACAUUUUUCUUUCAGAUCCUCACCACUGAUAGGUGUCAGAGAUAUUUUAAUUUGGUAUCAGGGCUUCUUUUCUUUGGGGUAAAAUAAGUAUACUUUGUGUACAUAAACUAUAUAGAAGCUCUGUAUUUGGGUACUGACCAGCAUGUUGUACUAAGAAUGCUUUCAUAUAUAAAGGUUUGGUUGGUUUGACUACCCUGUUACCCAUGUAUGAGGCUUCGUGCUAUUGUGGGCGGUAGUCGGCAAUAGCACGGCCGUGUCACGAAUUCGGAUCCGGGGCGUGACAAAAAACACCAGAUACCUACCUAAUAUAUUGCUAUUCUGAAUUUGCUGGGCAUAUGGACUGUUGCUUGAUAAACUUGCAGUAAAACGUGUGUUUGAUGCAAAACUUAUUAUGAGAUUUUCUUAUGAUAGGACAAAAAGAAAGACUUGCAGUACAAUGUGUGCUUCACGCAAAACUUAUUAUGAGAUUUUCUGUUGAGAGAAAAAAAAAAGUGGCGGCCUCUUUUCACUCCAAGAUCUAGUCCUGAUGGGCCAAUGUGAGCAAAAGAUAA
This 588-nucleotide long non-coding RNA is filed under the name Phoenix dactylifera (date palm). Its description in RNAcentral is "long non-coding RNA (PDAC_LNC021124)". The record is from RNAcentral. Lineage: Eukaryota; Viridiplantae; Streptophyta; Magnoliopsida; Arecales; Arecaceae.